This 253-nucleotide ribosomal RNA is filed under the name uncultured bacterium. Its description in RNAcentral is "partial 16S ribosomal RNA". It matches the Rfam family "Bacterial small subunit ribosomal RNA", at positions 524 to 776 of the family's 1533-position model. The record is from RNAcentral.
UACAUGGGGUGCAAACGUUGCUCGGAAUUAUUGGGCGUAAAGCGCACGUAGGCGGUUCGUUAAGUCGGAUGUGAAAGCCCUCGGCUCAACUGAGGAAGUGCACCCGAAACUGGCGAGCUUGAGUACGAAAGAGGAUCGCGGAAUUCCCGGUGUAGAGGUGAAAUGCGUAGAGAUCGGGAGGAACACCAGUGGCGAAGGCGGCCGGCUGGGGGUGACCUGACGCUGAGGCGCGAAAGCGUGGGUAGCAAACAGG